CACGCAGGCGGUUUUUUAACGUCAGAUGUGAAAGGUACCGGCUCAACCGGUGACAUGCAUUUGAAACUGAAAGACUUGAGUAUUGGAGAGGCAAGUGGAAUUCCUAGUGUAGCGGUGAAAUGCGUAGAUAUUAGGAGGAACACCGGUGGCGAAGGCGGCUUGCUGGACAAAUACUGACGCUGAGGUGCGAAAGCGUGGGGAGCAAACA
RNAcentral lists this ribosomal RNA (208 nucleotides) under uncultured Acetobacterium sp. Its description in RNAcentral is "partial 16S ribosomal RNA". It matches the Rfam family "Bacterial small subunit ribosomal RNA", at positions 568 to 774 of the family's 1533-position model. The record is from RNAcentral. Lineage: Bacteria; Bacillati; Bacillota; Clostridia; Eubacteriales; Eubacteriaceae.